UUAUAACGACACUUAUAUAAGUCAUAAUAUUAGCUAAAAUAUUUAUUAUAAGUUCAUAAUAACAAUACUAAUUUUAUAUAUAAACUAUAUUUAAAAUAGGGUAAGCAUAACUAACUUACAAGGGGAUUUUAGCUAGGAGUCGGGCUCUGCAGGGGUAGAACUUCGUCGCUGAAUCUUUCUAAGAAAGAUUCGUGCAGCGCUUCAGCGCUCACCUUACUAUACUAAAACUACAGAAAGAGAAGUCGAAUCACGAGGGACCGAAAUGCUCGGGGGAUAAGGAGAGAAAGACUCUUGAAUCAAGAGAAUGGUGCAAGAAAUAUGAGAGCCCAAGGCUCUUAUUUAUACUAAUUGAAUUUUCAAAAACUACCCUCCAUAAUUACUUAAUGACCUUUUAGUUAUAUAAACAACUAAACACCCCUCUAUAAUACUAUUAUAAAUGGAUUUAACGAUAUUUGUACUAAACUAAUGUCGAAAGAACUCAACAUUAGUCUUAUAAUGACCGCAUCGUCGAUACCUUUCUAAUGAUAUAUACAUAUGUAUAUAUAUGUGUACGUAUAUAUGAUUUAUACUUUAUUUUAAUACGUAAAUAUGCUAUUAUAAUUUGUAACUCGUUCAUACAAACUCCGUUUUUGACGUUCUUUAUAUCCACGCGUAGGUGGAGACGUACUCUACAUCUUUUGUUUAGACUCUGUUGGCUAAUUUUGACUUUAUUUUUAAAGUUAUAUUUUUAACAGGCCGAGACAGGAUUGGUCCGUUAAAAUCUCAUAACUUCUUCAUCCGAUGUCGAUUUUCGUCUGUCUUUUUAUUAUUACGCUACUAAUAACGAGAUCUUCGAUUCUCGUUUAGGUUGUGUCGGCUAAAAACCACUCGAUCUAAUACUUGAACUGCGAGUAGUACACCGCUAAGCCGAAACUUCAAAAAAUCAUAACUUCCUCAUACGAAGUCAGAUUUGGGUGUUCUUUUUAUGGAUGCUCUCAGGUUAACAUAUUCUACGACUUUCAUUUAGAUUACUAAGACUAAAAGUCGCUCUAUCAUAAAUUCACUAUUUACGUCUUCGUGGUGUCGUGCCGGUUCUGUCGCUAAACUUCGACGGGUCAUAACUUCUUCGUUAUAACUCGGAUUUCGGCGCUCUUUAUAUGUACGGAACCCUUGAGAAAUAUUCUACAACUUGGUUAAGACUAUUUAUUCUAAAUAUUAUUUUGUCGAAAAUUCGUUUUCGACCCCUAUUAUUUUUAAAUUGUCUAGCCCGGAUCUACGUGCGUUACAAUUAUCUCCCCGUUAGGAUUAUUACGUCUCGGAAUCAUUAACGAAACAUGACUCACAUGAUGACUCCAUACGUUAUCUCUUCAUCCUAAGUAAUAACCGUAACUUUCAUGUUUCUUUGGACGAGUAUCUAACUCUAAGAGGCGAUGCUCGAUCUUGCACUUACUCUUUAUCUCACGUUAGACUCCAAAUUAUGACCUUCAAGUCACAAUAUCGAUCCUCACUGGAUAUGAACUUAAGAUAAGUUCUUUUAUUACUAUCAUGGACUGAUGUGCCAUAUUCUAAUGACCUCUCAUCGUAUGUUGCAACGCUCAGACUCAGGUCUGUUAGAGUCAAAUUCCAAAACAGACUAUACCUUCCUUCAUGUUCUAACCACAUCUUAAAAGGUAGCAUUUCUAGCUACAAGCAACUUUUCGCGAUACCUCUACUGAUCGCUUUUUAUUUCAAUCUUCCAUCUUAAGUCAGAUGUUACAUUGAACUUGAUUCUCUGAACCACAUAACAUACUCAACGUUGUUGGACUCAAUUUGAUAUGACCACUAGGGUCGGAAUAACAAUAAUCUUCUUAGUCAUUACCGAAACGAUGAUAACAACAUACUUGAAUAGAAUGAAAUCAAUUACUAGCUUUUUGGCAACCUUGUGACUUUCCCUGAUCCAAGCGCGAGUCUUGUGCUUCCGGUAGUAUAUGCAUCUACUACCUUUCACACCUACUCAUACUCGUCCCAAGUAUUGUCUCGUAGUUUUUCAAGUCCUAAAAUCACAAAACAAUUUUAACACAUACAAAUGUGUCCAAACAAUCAUAUAAUUUUUCCUAGACUCUACUAGGACUUCUUCCUUGCGUAUCUUCAAUCGUAAAUUCUGCUUCGACUCGGUUGGUGGUGGCAACGCCAUACGGACAACUUCAGGAAUUACACCAAUCAUUCCAUCAUCCCACUAAUCGAAGGUGUACUUCAGACAUACCAUACUCCUCUGAAUGUACUGUUAUCUUAUCAUACACAUUCUAAAGGCAAUAUACCACUCUUAUGAUAUCUUCUGAUAUGUGUCAUUCACUAACAUAAGCCUUUUCAUUUCCUCCAUUUACUCGAUUCUCUACAAGUCUUCACCAUGAUGCUUUGCUUAUGAAAGUAUGCGUUCAAUGCAUCAAGACGAGAAAAUAGAUAGAGAAGAUUUAGACGUGUAAUCCUCCUUAUUACUUUGAAAAAUUACAUAUCAGUUCUAAUAUCGUAAUUAAACGUUUAGAAACCUGAGCACAUAAAAUUUCCAGAUCCGGUCGGCAACAAACCAUAGAUCCAAACAAAUAAUAGCAUAUAAGGCAUCUUUAUAGCUAUAACAUAAAGCAUUUAGCACAUCAAACAUUUUAGGCAUCUUUCCUAAAACAAACUAGUGCUCGUGUCUAAAAUAUAGCAGACACUCAUCUCACAAUCAUCGCUUAGCAUUCUAAGCUUAAGUCUAGAAAUAAAUCCUUAUUCCUAGUUCGCUUAAACUAAUGCUCUGAUACCAACUGUGACAUCCCUAUUUUCACGGCCAGAAAAGACCGAUUUUGUUUAUGCUUUAUUAAAAUCAGAGUACCUCUUUUAAUAAAAAUGUUGCGGAAUUUGUUCCCAGUAAAACAUGAUAAAUACGUUAUCAAAGCAUUUCCGAAGAAAAGUAUUUUUAUUCAUUUUAAAACAUUUGGGAUGUCAUCGUCAAUACAGAAACAUAAGCAUAAACAGAACUUACAUUCAUUAUCACUAGUGGUUUAUAUCUCCUUUAUCUCUCAGUGUAAUGUGACUUCAUAACAACACCCGUGAUAUAAAUAAACUGAGUGGGUCAGGUUGGGAAACCUGGUGAGUACAUAGGGGUUUCCACCCACAAUAAUAUAAUUAUUAUGUUUAAACAAUUAAGCAAUCAACCCGAUUACCCAUCCCUAUUAUCUUCUUUAUUCUUAAGGAUCUACCCUAAGAAUAAGCUAUUCCUCGUUCAUUUAUACCUAAGGAUCAUCCUAAGGAAUCGGCACGAAGUCCAUCAUUGCCACGGUUUACACAACAGACACUAAGUCUGCAUAGUCGCCAAGGGUUAGGCAUCAAGUCUGCAUUAUCACCAAGGUUUACACAACGGGCACUAAGUCUACAUAGUCGCCAGGGUUUAGGCAUAAAGUCUGCAUGAUCGCCAAUGCUUAGGCACCAAGUCUGCAUGGUCGCCAAGGUUUAGAGUACACCGGUUGAACACAUCGUUCACAACACCUACAGGUUGUGAGCCUGCUAGUGUUCCACUGGAUUGUCUAGAAUAAUCCGUGGUUGUCAUCCAUACUCUGCUGAAUGACGGGGCCAUCGUUUGGGAAAAGGCUUCUCACAUCGUCCACCUCUCACCCUCACCUCGUGGUCUAUAACACCUUUCAACUCAUCAUCAAACUCAUAUUCCAUCUAUUACAUCUAUCCAUGUUUUACCUCAACAUUAUCGUAGAUAUAAAAUACAUAUACAGUUUAAAUCAUUUAAAACAUGUAUAAAAUCAUUCAUCCAGCAUAGACAACAAGUAUUCAUAUAAUAUGCACACAUAGCACGUAAUUUAUAUAAAAUAUUUCAUAUCUAUGUGUAAGAUGAAAGUAACUAUGCACUCACCUUAGAAGGUGGUGACUCGGUACUCGGACAGCGCUUCGUUUACUUUAAAAUAAUUUCCUUCGACGAAACCUAGUAUUAUCACCACUAGAUUUUAGUCUAAUAUUUACCGUGACUAAUUAUUAGUCUUAUUAUUAUUAUUAUUAUUAUNNNNAUGCACUCACUUGAGAAGGUGGUGACUCGGUACUCGGACAGCGCUUCGUUUACUUUAAAAUAAUUUCCUUCGACGAAACCUAGUAUUAUUACCACUAGAUUUUAGUCUAAUAUUUACCGUGACUAAUUAUUAGUCUUAUUAUUAUUAUUAUAUAAGCGUUUAAACAAUACUUUCCAACCACUAUGUACAGACAGGGGCCAGACAUAAAACACCGGAGGGCAGGACCAUUUUGGCAUAUAGCACUUCUGAAAUCCAACAACCCUAUGCGGCCCUUUAAACCAGAUUCCCCGUACCGCGAGUAGUUAAAAAGAUAUUAUAACGACACUUAUAUAAGUCAUAAUAAUAGCUAAAAUAUUUAUUAUAAGUUUAUAAUAACAAUACUAAUUUUAAAUAUAAACUAUAUUUAAAAUAGGGUAAGCAUAACUUACUUACAAGGGGAUUUUAGCUAGGAGUCGGGCUCUACAGGGGCAGAACUUCGUCGCUGAAUCUUUCUAAGAAAGAUUCGUGUAGCGCUUCAGCGCUCACCUUAAUAUACUAAAAACUACAGAAAGAGAAGUCGAAUCACGAGGGA
Molecule: long non-coding RNA, 4581 nt
Filed under: Lactuca sativa (garden lettuce)
Lineage: Eukaryota; Viridiplantae; Streptophyta; Magnoliopsida; Asterales; Asteraceae
Description: long non-coding RNA (LSAT_LNC001182)
Source: RNAcentral